Molecule: long non-coding RNA, 555 nt
Filed under: Oreochromis niloticus (Nile tilapia)
Lineage: Eukaryota; Metazoa; Chordata; Actinopteri; Cichliformes; Cichlidae
Description: lncRNA (ENSONIG00000040660.1)
Source: RNAcentral
AUGGAGGGAGAUGACGUCACUCUGCUCUGUAAAACAAAGACCACUCCCUCCAACCUCACAGCUGCUUUCUAUAAAGAUGGCGUCUUCAUCAGGAAGCAGCCUACAGGUCACAUGACCAUCCAGCAUGUUUCCAGGUCUGAUGAAGGCCUCUACAAGUGUGACAUCAGCGGUCAUGGAGAGUCUCCAUCCAGCUGGAUCACUGUCACAGAAAAACCCACCACUCCAGCUCCGCCUGCACCCACCUCUCGUCCUGGUUUACCUCAUCUACUUCCUGUGUUGGUCUUUGGAUCAGUCUGUGUUUUGUUUCUGCUGGUGUUACUGGUUCUACUGAUGAGGGACUGUGUCUGCAGAAAACUUGAAGCUGAUCAAGAAGCUGGAGAAGAUGCCAUCACAGAUGACACCACGUACAGCGACAUCAAAAUAGCACAGGAGCCUCAGCAACCAGUGAGAGAGGCCAGAGAGACGCCAUCAAAGCCAGAGGUCAUCUACUCUUCAGUGAAGAAGUUCACCCGUCCAACCACUGACGACCAGGCCAUCAGACCGGAGUGCAUUUAA